This 30-nucleotide non-coding RNA is filed under the name Mus musculus (house mouse). The record is from RNAcentral. Lineage: Eukaryota; Metazoa; Chordata; Mammalia; Rodentia; Muridae.
UGAACUGUAUUGGGAAAAUGUGUUUUCUGC